Biomphalaria glabrata is the source of this 832-nucleotide long non-coding RNA. RefSeq lists it as uncharacterized. The record is from RefSeq and is a predicted model, not a curated record. The transcript is spliced from 6 exons. NCBI's taxonomy places the organism in Eukaryota, Metazoa, Mollusca, Gastropoda, Planorbidae.
UCUUCGGAUUACUCACAGGACAAACUCACAGGGCUAUUGACGUUUAUGUUUAGGACAAAGAAGAAUUUGAGUCGAAAAUUCGUUUUUCCUUUUAUGUUCUAUGCAUUUUUCAAACCUCUCUUUAAAUUGAAGACGUCGGGCUAUAGAUCUCAAUGUAACUGAUUAAGAAAAGAAAAUCAUCUACAAAAAUACGAAAGAGUUUGGACCCAAAUCGAUAUAGGUUCUAAUUCCAAGACGGCAAGGGAAAGAAACACGAGUCGCCACGGCACAACUACGCCACAGCCGCAUCACAGUAUGAUCUAGUCUAUAUAUUGGCAACACGAAAUCCACACCAUGAGAUGUGUUUUAAUUCUGUUGUUGUUAAGCUUCAGUUUAGAUAACUACCUUCUAUAUUUGGCAUUAAACUAAGGGAGAGAAUCGGAGAACAAAAUACGGGUAAGACAAAACACUGUUACAGUCUUUACGGCAAAAUGCCAAAGGACUACAGGAUUUCGAGCUUAUGAACGAGGCGACGUGAGAAUGUGUAUCUACUACGGUGGAAUAAAAAAGACCUACUACGAUGCUGACAAUCAUUGCAAAAGCCUUGGUUCUAGAUUGGCUUUACUGGAUAAGCCGAUUAAAAUUCAGAUGCUAUCAUCAUUUAGAAAUGCAUGGAUCAGAUUUUUGGCUGAUGAAACAAGAUGUUAUUGCAUGUAUUGCGAACCUGUUGUUACUUUAGAGAUGUGCCGUAAGAUUCUAAAAGUCUAUCUUUGUCAGAGAAAUAUAAUUGUAUAAAGCUCUAGACAAUGUCUUCGAUACUAUGGAAAAUAAACUGAAAGAUUGUAAAAUUUGA